Molecule: ribosomal RNA, 393 nt
Filed under: Triticum aestivum (bread wheat)
Lineage: Eukaryota; Viridiplantae; Streptophyta; Magnoliopsida; Poales; Poaceae
Description: partial small subunit ribosomal RNA
Source: RNAcentral
AUGAGAGAGUGGCGCGAGGUCCAUGUCAAGCCGGCUCAGGCAACCAUACCCAUCGUAGUGCAGCGCUGGACGGCGCCGGAAGAGGGCUGGGUCAAGGCAAAUUCUGACGGCGCUACAGCAAAGUUCGGAGGCAAGAGUGGAGGAGGGGCGGUGCUUCGCGACCAUAACGGUGCUUUUCUCGCUGGGGCGUGUCACUUCUUUCCUCAUGUCGACGAUGUUGAGGCUGCUGAGAUUAAAGCAUGCAAAAGGGCUCUGUUGGUGGCAAUGGGGAUCAACGUUCAGAGGGUUCACUUGGAGCUGGACAGCCAGGCUCUUGUGCAUACGAUCAAAAGCCCUGAGAGGAAUCUGGCGGCGAAUGGACCUUGGGUGGAGGAGAUCAAGAUGAUGCUUUGA